CCUACGUGGCGCUGCAGUGGGGAAUAUUGCACAAUGGGGGAAACCCUGAUGCAGCGACGCCGCGUGAGUGAAGAAGUAAUUCGUUAUGUAAAGCUCUAUCAGCAGGGAAGAAAAUGACGGUACCUGAGUAAGAAGCCCCGGCUAACUACGUGCCAGCAGCCGCGGUAAUACGUAGGGGGCAAGCGUUAUCCGGAUUUACUGGGUGGAAAGGGAGCGUAGACGGCAGUGCAAGUCUGGAGUGAAAGGCGGGGGCUCACCCCCCGGACUGCUCUGGAAACUGUACGGCUGGAGUGCAGGAGAGGUAAGUGGAAUUCCUAGUGUAGCGGUGAAAUGCGUAGAUAUUAGGAGGAACACCAGUGGCGAAGGCGGCUUACUGGACUGUAACUGACGUUGAGGCUCGAAAGCGUGGGGAGCAAACAGGAUUAGAUACCCCUGUAGUC
RNAcentral lists this ribosomal RNA (440 nucleotides) under uncultured bacterium. RNAcentral describes it as "partial 16S ribosomal RNA". It matches the Rfam family "Bacterial small subunit ribosomal RNA", at positions 338 to 795 of the family's 1533-position model. The record is from RNAcentral.